Molecule: long non-coding RNA, 1497 nt
Organism: Camelus dromedarius (Arabian camel)
Lineage: Eukaryota; Metazoa; Chordata; Mammalia; Artiodactyla; Camelidae
Exons: 4
Source: RefSeq, a predicted model, not a curated record
CUUAUUUAAACGUGCCGACGCCGCGCGUCGCUUUCUGCGCAGCAGGCGAGAAUGGCGGCGGUUUCCGGCGCCUCUGAGACCCGGGCUUAGACUUGAACCUCGCUGCCGGUUUGUGAACCUGUCGGUUGAAGGGAAGAGAGUAACAGCACUUCCACAGUAAACGCAGCAGUCACUGCGGUUGCCGGGACAGCCUUAGGGGGAAGCCAGCUGUGUAUCACCAGGUAGCCCUGGGGAGAGAGGUCGUGUGGGGAGGAACCACCUCCCAGAAGUGCGCUUGGAGGUCAAGCCUGCUCUGGGACGGCCCCUGGAGACUCAGCUCCCGUGAACAGUGGGCUUCGACCUCACGAGAGAUCCCAGCCAGAGCCCCGGCUCAGCCUCUCAGCCCUGACCCACGGAAACCGUGAGAGAUAACUGAAGGUGAAAGGGCCAGAGAGAACUCCACCCCGCCCUGCUGGUUCUGAAAAUGGAAGGGGGCCAGGACCCAAGGAGCGUGGCAGCCUCCAGAAGCUGGGAAGCUCUCGGCUUACAACCAGUUAGAAAACUAGAACCUGGUCCUGGUCCAGCAACUCAAAGAACGGAGUCUACCAGUGACCCAGCUGAGCAGGAGACAAAUUCCUCCCUGGAGACUCCUGAAAGAAAUGCAGCCCAGCCAACAUGAGCCUCGUGCCUGCCUCUCCACCCCAUCUCUGAGCAGCGCUCCUGGCGGCUAAUGAACACAAGAGUUCAGUGACUACAGUGAACUCUGAUUCAAUGAGUGCAUCACUGAAAGAAGCAAUCAACUAAUACAUGAAAAUGGAAAAAAAACACAAAUCAACACUCCCUACUCCUCUUCAAAGGGGUCUACCAUUUACUACACUUAGAUACCGUGUGUAUUUUGUGGAUCAUGGCAUCAUUACACUCAGUUUCUUGGCACCUCAGACCAUGUCUAUUAUUUACCAUUUGCUCCAAAUAUUAGUCAAGAACAUGAAUUCUUUGAAUAUUUUACACUCAACAACUAAUCUCGGUUAAACCUGGAUGUCUAAAUUGUAUCAAGAAGUUGAUGUUCAAUGACAACACAUGCCUCCUUCAAAUAAAACACCAUUUCAUUUUAAAUGCUUAAUGUGAUUAAAAAGAGAUUUAAGUUCUGACUACAAACUUUUCCCAAUGACUGUCAUACUAAGCAUAACAUAUAGGUUGUAUAUUUAUUUAUAUUUAGCUCCCCAAGAGCCACUGAAAGCAAACAUAAAUGAAAUUCCCAAAGAAUGCCAAGAUUUUAUACCAGUCAUUCAUUUCAACGUCUUCCACCUCCUAGCCUUUGAAUCAACUGAAAACAAGUAUGAACAAUAUGCUUCAUUCAGUUCCUUCCGGUCUGCAGGGAAGCGACAGAUGCUGGAGAAGGAACUGGUUACUCCACCCCCAGAUAAACAAAAUCAACUAUGAGACAAGUUGUAACUUCCCUCCAGCUCAGACUUAUCCAAGGUAAUAAUGAUGAGAAACUCUGCCUCUUCACUUACUUCU